GAUGAACGCUGGCGGCGUGCUUAACACAUGCAAGUCGAACGAAGCAUUUGCGACAGAUUUUUUCGGAAUGAAGUUGCUUAUGACUGAGUGGCGGACGGGUGAGUAACGCGUGGGUAACCUGCCUUGUACUGGGGGAUAGCAGCUGGAAACGGCUGGUAAUACCGCAUAAGCGCACAAUGUUGCAUGACAUGGUGUGAAAAACUCCGGUGGUAUAAGAUGGACCCGCGUCUGAUUAGCUAGUUGGUGAGAUAACAGCCCACCAAGGCGACGAUCAGUAGCCGAGCUGAGAGGGUGACCGGCCACAUUGGGACUGAGACACGGCCCAGACUCCUACGGGAAGCAGCAGUGGGGAAUAUUGCACAAUGGAGGAAACUCUGAUGCAGCGACGCCGCGUGAGUGAAGAAGUAAUUCGUUAUGUAAAGCUCUAUCAGCAGGGAAGAUAGUGACGGUACCUGACUAAGAAGCUCCGGCUAAAUACGUG
RNAcentral lists this ribosomal RNA (481 nucleotides) under uncultured bacterium. RNAcentral's name for it is "partial 16S ribosomal RNA". It matches the Rfam family "Bacterial small subunit ribosomal RNA", at positions 28 to 507 of the family's 1533-position model. The record is from RNAcentral.